CCCUGGGAGGCAGCAGUGGGGAAUUUUGGACAAUGGGGGCAACCCUGAUCCAGCCAUUCCGCGUGAGUGAAGAAGGCCUUCGGGUUGUAAAGCUCUUUCAGCAGGAGCGAAACGGUCGUUUUUAAUACAGACGGCUAAUGACGGUACCUGCAGAAGAAGCACCGGCUAACUACGUGCCAGCAGCCGCGGUAAUACGUAGGGUACGAGUGUUAAUCGGAAUUACUGGGCGUAAAGCGUGCGCAGGCGGCGACAUAAGACAGAUGUGAAAUCCCCGGGCUCAACCUGGGAACUGCGUUUGUGACUGUGUUGCUAGAGUGUAGCAGAGGGGGGUGGAAUUCCACGUGUAGCAGUGAAAUGCGUAGAUAUGUGGAGGAACACCGAUGGCGAAGGCAGCCCCCUGGGUUAACACUGACGCUCAUGCACGAAAGCGUGGGGAGCAAACAGGAUUAGAUACCCUGGUAA
This 462-nucleotide ribosomal RNA is filed under the name uncultured bacterium. RNAcentral describes it as "bacterial SSU rRNA". It matches the Rfam family "Bacterial small subunit ribosomal RNA", at positions 339 to 793 of the family's 1533-position model. The record is from RNAcentral.